CUAUGUGAAAAAAACUAAACAACCCAAUACCUUACUCUAUUCUCUCUUUUGAUGCAAAAAUAGGGCAAAUAGAUCCGACCCAUAACCUCUAUUUUCAAGCAAGUUACAGACAUCAAACUUAAAUUGCUAGUAUCAAACUAAUUACCGAUUCCAAUCAAUCUCUUUCGAGCAUCAGUCGGAGAUCAGAAAUAGGAAUUAAGUUUGCAACUUCAACCUAUAAGUUAACCACAUGCUAAUUAGCCUAAAUCAAUCUAUGAAC
This 259-nucleotide long non-coding RNA is filed under the name Solanum tuberosum (potato). RNAcentral's name for it is "long non-coding RNA (STUB_LNC002585)". Lineage: Eukaryota; Viridiplantae; Streptophyta; Magnoliopsida; Solanales; Solanaceae. The record is from RNAcentral.